UACAGAGGGUGCGAGCGUUAAUCGGAAUUACUGGGCGUAAAGCGCACGUAGUCGGCUUUGCAAGUCGGUUGUGAAAUCCCCGGGCUCAACCUGGGAACUGCAUCCGAGACUGCAUUGCUAGAGUAUGGGAGAGGAAAGCGGAAUUUCUGGUGUAGCAGUGAAAUGCGUAGAUAUCGAGAGGAACACCGGUGGCGAAGGCGGCCUUCUGGACAGUGACUGACGCUGAGACGCGAAAGCGUGGGGAGCAAACAGG
Molecule: ribosomal RNA, 253 nt
Filed under: uncultured bacterium
Lineage: Bacteria
Description: partial 16S ribosomal RNA
Rfam family: Bacterial small subunit ribosomal RNA
Source: RNAcentral